This 823-nucleotide ribosomal RNA is filed under the name uncultured bacterium. RNAcentral's name for it is "bacterial SSU rRNA". It matches the Rfam family "Bacterial small subunit ribosomal RNA", at positions 54 to 890 of the family's 1533-position model. The record is from RNAcentral.
CAUGCAAGUCGAACGAGAGAGAGGGAGCUUGCUUCCUCGAUCGAGUGGCGAACGGGUGAGUAACGCGUGAGGAACCUGCCUCAAAGAGGGGGACAACAGUUGGAAACGACUGCUAAUACCGCAUAAGCCCACGGCUCGGCAUCGAGCAGAGGGAAAAGGAGCAAUCCGCUUUGAGAUGGCCUCGCGUCCGAUUAGCUAGUUGGUGAGGUAACGGCCCACCAAGGCGACGAUCGGUAGCCGGACUGAGAGGUUGAACGGCCACAUUGGGACUGAGACACGGCCCAGACUCCUACGGGAGGCAGCAGUGGGGAAUAUCGCACAAUGGGGGAAACCCUGAUGCAGCGACGCCGCGUGGAGGAAGAAGGUCUUCGGAUUGUAAACUCCUGUUGUUGAGGAAGAUAAUGACGGUACUCAACAAGGAAGUGACGGCUAACUACGUGCCAGCAGCCGCGGUAAAACGUAGGUCACAAGCGUUGUCCGGAAUUACUGGGUGUAAAGGGAGCGCAGGCGGGCGAUCAAGUUGGAAGUGAAAUCCAUGGGCUCAACCCAUGAACUGCUUUCAAAACUGAUUGUCUUGAGUAGUGCAGAGGUAGGCGGAAUUCCCGGUGUAGCGGUGGAAUGCGUAGAUAUCGGGAGGAACACCAGUGGCGAAGGCGGCCUACUGGGCACCAACUGACGCUGAGGCUCGAAAGUGUGGGUAGCAAACAGGAUUAGAUACCCUGGUAGUCCACACCGUAAACGAUGAUUACUAGGUGUUGGAGGAUUGACCCCUUCAGUGCCGCAGUUAACACAAUAAGUAAUCCACCUGGGGAGUACGACCGCA